GGAGAAGCAGAGUGAUGAGCAUUACUGGCUGGAGCACCAAAGAGGCACAAGUGUGUGCGUGGGUGCAUGUGUGAGUUUCUCUGUCUGGGUCUGUGCGUGCACACGUAUGUCUGGGAGUGUGAAUGUGUGUGACUGGCUGUAGGGAACUAGCCGUGUGCCUUCUGUGGGGCCAUGACAGUCAAACUGAUAAGAUCUGAUUGCUUC
This is a small nucleolar RNA of Artibeus jamaicensis (Jamaican fruit-eating bat), 204 nucleotides long. RefSeq annotates it as small nucleolar RNA ZL1. The transcript has a single exon. The record is from RefSeq and is a predicted model, not a curated record. NCBI's taxonomy places the organism in Eukaryota, Metazoa, Chordata, Mammalia, Chiroptera, Phyllostomidae.